AACUGCUGGACAAGGAGUGUUCUGUUGAGCUCAUUUUCACACGAUGAACAACUGGCUUAGAACUGAUUCGGGCAAGGGGAAUCCGACUGUUUAAUUGAAACAAAGCAUUGCGAGGGCCUCAAAGGGUGGUGCCACAAUGUGAUUUCUGCCCAGUGCUCUGAAUGUCAAAGUGAGGAAAUUCAACUAAGCGCGGGUAAACGGCGGGAGUAACUAUGACUCUCUUAAGGUAGCCAAAUGCCUCGUCAUCCAAUUAGUGACGCGCAUGAAUGGAUUAAUGAGAUUCCCACUGUCCCCAUCUACUGUCCAGCGAAACCACAGCCAAGGGAACGGGCUUGGGUAAAUCAGCGGGGAAAGAAGACCCUGUUGAGCUUGACUCUAAUCUGACUUUGUGAAAUGACUUAGGAGGUGUAGGAUAUGUGGGAGCUCUGGUGAUCUUGAAAUACCACUACUCUUAAUGUCACUUUACUUACUCUAUCAGACUGUGGCCUGCUUCCCAGCAGGUUUUUGUUUCAAGGCAUCUCAUCUGACUUGUUGACUUGCGUAGAGGACGUAGUCAGGUGGGCAGUUUGGCUGGGGCGGCACAUCUGUUAAAGGAUAACGCAGGUGUCCCAAGGUAAGCUCAAGGAGAACAGAAAUCUCAUGUGGAUCAGAAGGGGAAAUGCUUGCUUGAUUUUGCUUUUCAGUGUGAAGACAAACUGUGCAAACAUGGCCUAUCGAUCCUUUGG
This 725-nucleotide ribosomal RNA is filed under the name Gambierdiscus australes. Its description in RNAcentral is "LSU rRNA". It matches the Rfam family "Eukaryotic large subunit ribosomal RNA", at positions 2052 to 2779 of the family's 3401-position model. Lineage: Eukaryota; Dinophyceae; Gonyaulacales; Pyrocystaceae. The record is from RNAcentral.